This 505-nucleotide ribosomal RNA is filed under the name Vibrio sp. HDEP13. Its description in RNAcentral is "bacterial SSU rRNA". It matches the Rfam family "Bacterial small subunit ribosomal RNA", at positions 380 to 877 of the family's 1533-position model. The record is from RNAcentral. Lineage: Bacteria; Pseudomonadati; Pseudomonadota; Gammaproteobacteria; Vibrionales; Vibrionaceae.
AGCCUGAUGCAGCCAUGCCGCGUGUAUGAAGAAGGCCUUCGGGUUGUAAAGUACUUUCAGUCGUGAGGAAGGCAUUAGUGUUAAUAGCGUUAGUGUUUGACGUUAGCGACAGAAGAAGCACCGGCUAACUCCGUGCCAGCAGCCGCGGUAAUACGGAGGGUGCGAGCGUUAAUCGGAAUUACUGGGCGUAAAGCGCAUGCAGGUGGUUUGUUAAGUCAGAUGUGAAAGCCCGGGGCUCAACCUCGGAACCGCAUUUGAAACUGGCAGGCUAGAGUACUGUAGAGGGGGGUAGAAUUUCAGGUGUAGCGGUGAAAUGCGUAGAGAUCUGAAGGAAUACCAGUGGCGAAGGCGGCCCCCUGGACAGAUACUGACACUCAGAUGCGAAAGCGUGGGGAGCAAACAGGAUUAGAUACCCUGGUAGUCCACGCCGUAAACGAUGUCUACUUGGAGGUUGUGGCCUUGAGCCGUGGCUUUCGGAGCUAACGCGUUAAGUAGACCGCCUGGG